RNAcentral lists this transfer RNA (66 nucleotides) under Phycisphaerae bacterium. RNAcentral describes it as "tRNA-Arg". It matches the Rfam family "tRNA", at positions 15 to 71 of the family's 71-position model. Rfam says of the family: Transfer RNA (tRNA) molecules are approximately 80 nucleotides in length. Their secondary structure includes four short double-helical elements and three loops (D, anti-codon, and T loops). Lineage: Bacteria; Pseudomonadati; Planctomycetota; Phycisphaerae. The record is from RNAcentral.
ACGUUGUCACUUGGGAGCGGCGGUUUCCUAAACCGCAGGUCAGAGGUUCGAGUCCUCUCGGGCGUA